UAUUGAAAUAAGAUUUUAAUUGAAUGCUAAGAGAAUGGAAGUCCAGAAAAAAACUUUUUUUAAAUUAAAAAUUGAAGUUUUUUUAAUUUGUGCAGAAACAAUUAUCUAUAUUAAGGACAAGAAGACCCUAUGAAUUUAUUAAAUUUUUAUUUAAUAUGUAAUUACUAUUAAAAAAAUUUUGGCUGGGGCGGCUAAAAAAUAUUAUAAACUUUUUAAAAAUAAAAUGAUCCACUAUUAAUGAUUUUAUGUUAAAUACUCUAGGGAUAACAGCGUUAUAUUUUUUGUUAUAUUUUUUGUUAUAUUUUUUG
Molecule: ribosomal RNA, 308 nt
Filed under: Rhipicephalus afranicus
Lineage: Eukaryota; Metazoa; Arthropoda; Arachnida; Ixodida; Ixodidae
Description: partial large subunit ribosomal RNA
Source: RNAcentral